AUUGAACGCUGGCGGCAGGCCUAACACAUGCAAGUCGAGCGGAUGCAGCGAGCUUGCUCCUGGAUUCAGCGGCGGACGGGUGAGACAUGCCUUGGAAUCUGCCUGGUAGUGGGGGAUAACGUCCGGAUACGGGCGCUAAUCCCGCAUCCGUCCUGUGGUCGCAAGUGGGGGAUCUUCCGAUCUCACGCUUUCAUAUGAGCCUAGGUCGGAUGAGCUAGUUGGUGGGGUAACGGCCUUCCAAGGCGACGAUCCGUAACUGGUCUGAGAGGAAGAUCAGUCACACGGGAACUGAGACACGGCACAGACUCCUACAGGAGGCAGCAGUGGAGAAUAUUAGACGAGGGGGGAGAGGCGGAUCCAGCCAUGCGGCGUGUAGGAAGAAGGAGUUCGGAUGGGUGAGUACUGUAGGUUGGAAGGAAGGACAGUAAGUUAAUACCGGGCUGUAUUGACGGUACCAACAGAAUAAGCACCGGCUAACUUCGUG
Molecule: ribosomal RNA, 484 nt
Filed under: uncultured bacterium
Lineage: Bacteria
Description: partial 16S ribosomal RNA
Rfam family: Bacterial small subunit ribosomal RNA
Source: RNAcentral